CUACGGGGCGCUCCAGUGGGGAAUAUUGCACAAUGGACGAAAGUCUGAUGCAGCAACGCCGCGUGGAGGAUGACACAUUUCGGUGCGUAAACUCCUUUUAUAGGUCAAGAUAAUGACGGUAGCCUAUGAAUAAGCGCCGGCUAACUCCGUGCCAGCAGCCGCGGUAAUACGGAGGGCGCAAGCGUUACUCGGAAUCACUGGGCGUAAAGAGCGUGUAGGCGGGUUAAUAAGUCAGAAGUGAAAUCCAAUGGCUCAACCAUUGAACUGCUUUUGAAACUGUUAACCUAGAGUAUGGGAGAGGUAGAUGGAAUUUCUGGUGUAGGGGUAAAAUCCGUAGAGAUCAGAAGGAAUACCGAUUGCGAAGGCGAUCUACUGGAACAUUAUUGACGCUGAGACGCGAAAGCGUGGGGAGCAAACAGGAUUAGAUACCCGAGUAGUC
Molecule: ribosomal RNA, 439 nt
Filed under: uncultured bacterium
Lineage: Bacteria
Description: partial 16S ribosomal RNA
Rfam family: Bacterial small subunit ribosomal RNA
Source: RNAcentral